UGGCCUGAUACGUUGCCAACUGUGAACAAUGCAAUGCAAAACAUUUAAAGAAGGUAGAGAAACAGAUGCCAUCCUCUAGCAAAAGCAGGAACUCCAUUCUAGCAGGGGAAGGUGCUGAACUUUCUUCAGGCCCCACGUGGUUGUCCGAACUGGUGGGAGCACUCUGUCUAUACAGCUACAGCCCACGCUGAGCCAAAGUGGCACUAGAAGCCAAAAUCCUGAAUCCCGAGUCUGUGACCAGCCACCAAACCGGUAUCCAAAGGACAAGAGUGGUACAAGCAGAAGCAGCAAAUGCCAUCUCCCAACAAAACUGCCCAGAGGAAAAGACAGACACAGUGUUUGCCUGACUCACAGUUCAAGGAGAAGAAACUUGAUUUUCCCACUGGGACCUGAUCCCACGCAUGACUUCUGCAAGACCAAGCAUGGCCACCAACAGAUACGCUGUCAGAGCCAAACACAAGCCUUCAGGGGAACGUGA
This 478-nucleotide long non-coding RNA is filed under the name Anas platyrhynchos platyrhynchos (common mallard). RNAcentral describes it as "lncRNA (ENSAPLG00000025868.1)". The record is from RNAcentral. Lineage: Eukaryota; Metazoa; Chordata; Aves; Anseriformes; Anatidae.